GGGUAUUACACCUGAUCUCACCACCGCUCCUAUCCCGUCGAUGUUUUUACCACCUAUAACCACCAUCUCCAUUGUAUUCAGUACCACGUGUCCAUUAUUCUUCACCUUCCUCCAUUUUCUCCCUGUAUAAAUCUCUCACCCUUUUCGCUUCUCCCAUUUUCCAUUUCCCCUAAAAUCUUGCCCAAAUUUCAAGAAUCAAACAUAAAAAUCAAGAAUUUUUAAGAUAACAUUGCAUUAUCCACUUCAAUUCAAGUCACACCCACCUCUAAUUCAAAUAGUUGGUCUUAUCUCAC
This 293-nucleotide long non-coding RNA is filed under the name Capsicum annuum. RNAcentral describes it as "long non-coding RNA (CANN_LNC017507)". Lineage: Eukaryota; Viridiplantae; Streptophyta; Magnoliopsida; Solanales; Solanaceae. The record is from RNAcentral.